Molecule: ribosomal RNA, 519 nt
Filed under: uncultured Chloroflexota bacterium
Lineage: Bacteria; Bacillati; Chloroflexota
Description: bacterial SSU rRNA
Rfam family: Bacterial small subunit ribosomal RNA
Source: RNAcentral
UAAGGGAUAUUGCGACAAUGGGCGAAAGCCUGACGCAGCAACGCCGCGUGUGGGAUGACGGCCUUCGGGUUGUAAACCACUUUCGGGGGAAGAGGAAGGACGGUACCCCCGGAAGAAGUCUCGGCUAACUACGUGCCAGCAGCCGCGGUAAAACGUAGGAGGCAAGCGUUAUCCGGAUUUACUGGGUGUAAAGCGCGUGCAGGCGGACUUUCAAGUCGCGUGUGAAAGCGCCCGGCUCAACCGGGCGAGGCCGCGCGAAACUGAAAGACUGGAGGCCGGUAGAGGCGUGUGGAAUUCCGGGUGUAGUGGUGAAAUGCGUAGAGAUCCGGAGGAACACCAGUGGCGAAGGCGACACGCUGGACCGAGCCUGACGCUCAGACGCGACAGCAUGGGGAGCGAACGGGAUUAGAAACCCCGGUAGUCCAUGCCGUAAACGAUGCGAACUAGGUGUGGCGGGUAACCAUUCCGGCUGUGCCGCAGCUAACGCGCUAAGUUCGCCACCUGGGGACUACGGCCGCG